RNAcentral lists this ribosomal RNA (451 nucleotides) under uncultured bacterium. RNAcentral describes it as "partial 16S ribosomal RNA". It matches the Rfam family "Bacterial small subunit ribosomal RNA", at positions 29 to 523 of the family's 1533-position model. The record is from RNAcentral.
AACGAACGCUGGCGGCAGGCUUAACACAUGCAAGUCGAACGGGUGUAGUAAUACAUCAGUGGCAGACGGGUGAGUAACACGUGGGAACCUUCCUAGGGGUACGGAACAACUCAGGGAAACUUGAGCUAAUACCGUAUACGUCCGUGAGGAGAAAGAUUUAUCGCCCUUAGACGGGCCCGCGUCGGAUUAGCUAGUUGGUGGGGUAACGGCCUACCAAGGCGACGAUCCGUAGCUGAUCUUAGAGGAUGAUCAGCCACACUGGGACUGAGACACGGCCCAGACUCCUACGGGAGGCAGCAGUGGGGAAUCUUGGACAAUGGGCGCAAGCCUGAUCCAGCCAUGCCGCGUGAGUGAAGAAGGUCUUCGGAUUGUAAAGCUCUUUUGCCAGGGACGAUAAUGACGGUACCUGGAGAAUAAGCCCCGGCAAACUUCGUGCCAGCAGCCGCUGUAA